Molecule: ribosomal RNA, 443 nt
Filed under: uncultured bacterium
Lineage: Bacteria
Description: bacterial SSU rRNA
Rfam family: Bacterial small subunit ribosomal RNA
Source: RNAcentral
AGAGUUUGAUCCUGGCUCAGAAUCAACGCUGGCGGCGUGCCUAACACAUGCAAGUCGAACGAGAAAGGGACUUCGGUCCUGAGUACAGUGGCGCACGGGUGAGUAACACGUGACUAACCUACCCUGGAGUGGGGAAUAACUGAGGGAAACCUUAGCUAAUACCGCAUAACACCUACGGGUCAAAGGAGCAAUUCGCUUCAGGAGGGGGUCGCGGCCGAUUAGUUAGUUGGCGGGGUAAUGGCCCACCAAGACAGUGAUCGGUAUCCGGCCUGAGAGGGCGCACGGACACACUGGAACUGAAACACGGUCCAGACUCCUACGGGAGGCAGCAGUGGGGAAUUUUGCGCAAUGGGGGAAACCCUGACGCAGCAACGCCGCGUGGAGGAUGAAAUCCCUUGGGAUGUAAACUCCUUUCGAUCGGGACGAUUAUGACGGUACCGGAA